GAUGAACGCUGGCGGCGUGCCUAAUACAUGCAAGUCGAGCGAAUGGAUUAAGAGCUUGCUCUUAUGAAGUUAGCGGCGGACGGGUGAGUAACACGUGGGUAACCUGCCCAUAAGACUGGGAUAACUCCGGGAAACCGGGGCUAAUACCGGAUAACAUUUUGAACCGCAUGGUUCGAAAUUGAAAGGCGACUUCGGCUGUCACUUAUGGAUGGACCCGCGUCGCAUUAGCUAGUUGGUGAGGUAACGGCUCACCAAGGCAACGAUGCGUAGCCGACCGGGGAGGGUGAUCGGCCACACUGGGACUGAGACACGGCCCAGACUCCUACGGGAGGCAGCAGUAGGGAAUCUUCCGCAAUGGACGAAAGUCUGACGGAGCAACGCCGCGUGAGUGAUGAAGGCUUUCGGGUCGUAAAACUCUGUUGUUAGGGAAGAACAAGUGCUAGUUGAAUAAGCUGGCACCUUGACGGUACCUAACCAGAAAGCCACGGCUAACUACGUGCCAGCCGCCGCCGUAA
This 515-nucleotide ribosomal RNA is filed under the name uncultured bacterium. RNAcentral's name for it is "partial 16S ribosomal RNA". It matches the Rfam family "Bacterial small subunit ribosomal RNA", at positions 28 to 523 of the family's 1533-position model. The record is from RNAcentral.